This 624-nucleotide ribosomal RNA is filed under the name uncultured OCS116 cluster bacterium. Its description in RNAcentral is "bacterial SSU rRNA". It matches the Rfam family "Bacterial small subunit ribosomal RNA", at positions 56 to 714 of the family's 1533-position model. The record is from RNAcentral. Lineage: Bacteria; Pseudomonadati; Pseudomonadota; Alphaproteobacteria.
UGCAAGUCGAACGAGAAACCCGAGCUUGCUCGGGUGGACAGUGGCAGACGGCUUCUUAACGCGUGGGUAUCUACCUAGAGGUUUGGAACAACUAUUGGCCACGAUAGCUAAUACCAAAUAUUCCCUAAGGGGGAAAGAUUUAUCGCCUUUAGAUGAGCCCGCGUCGGAUUAGCUUGUUGGUAGGGUAAAGGCCUACCAAGGCAACGAUCCGUAGCUGGUCUGAGAGGAUGAUCAGCAAGAUUGGGACUGAGACACGGCCCAGACUCCUACGGGAGGCAGCAGUGGGGAAUAUUGCGCAAUGGGGGAAACCCUGACGCAGCGAUGCCGCGUGAGUGAAGAAGGCCUUAGGGUUGUAAAACUCUUUCACCGGUGAAGAUAAUGACGGUAGCCGGAGAAGAAGCCCCGGCUAACUUUUUGCCAGCAGCCGCGGUAAUACGGAGGGGGCUAACGUUGUUCGGAAUUACUGGGCGUAAAGCGCGCGUAGGCGGAUUAGACAGUUGAGGGUGAAAUCCCGGAGCUUAACUCCGGAACUGCCUUCAAUACUACUAAUCUUGAGUUCGGAAGAGGUGAGUGGAAUUCCUAGUGUAGAGGUGAAAUUCGUAGAUAUUAGGAAGAACAUCAGUG